This 965-nucleotide ribosomal RNA is filed under the name Listeria monocytogenes. RNAcentral describes it as "partial 23S ribosomal RNA". It matches the Rfam family "Bacterial large subunit ribosomal RNA", at positions 408 to 1374 of the family's 2925-position model. Lineage: Bacteria; Bacillati; Bacillota; Bacilli; Caryophanales; Listeriaceae. The record is from RNAcentral.
CUGAGUACGGCGGAACACGUGAAAUUCCGUCGGAAUCCGGGAGGACCAUCUCCCAAGGCUAAAUACUCCCUAGUGACCGAUAGUGAACCAGUACCGUGAGGGAAAGGUGAAAAGCACCCCGGAAGGGGAGUGAAACAGUUCCUGAAACCGUGUGCCUACAAGUAGUUAGAGCCCGUUAAUGGGUGAUAGCGUGCCUUUUGUAGAAUGAACCGGCGAGUUACGAUUUGUUGCAAGGUUAAGCGGAAAAAGCGGAGCCGUAGCGAAAGCGAGUCUGAAUAGGGCGCAUAAGUAACAGGUCGUAGACCCGAAACCAGGUGAUCUACCCAUGUCCAGGAUGAAGGUAAGGUAAUACUUACUGGAGGUCCGAACCCACGCACGUUGAAAAGUGCGGGGAUGAGGUGUGGGUAGCGGAGAAAUUCCAAUCGAACUUGGAGAUAGCUGGUUCUCUCCGAAAUAGCUUUAGGGCUAGCCUCGAGGUAAAGAGUCAUGGAGGUAGAGCACUGUUUGGACUAGGGGCCCUUCUCGGGUUACCGAAUUCAGAUAAACUCCGAAUGCCAUGUACUUAUACUCGGGAGUCAGACUGCGAGUGAUAAGAUCCGUAGUCGAAAGGGAAACAGCCCAGACCACCAGUUAAGGUCCCCAAAUAUAUGUUAAGUGGAAAAGGAUGUGGGGUUGCUUAGACAACCAGGAUGUUGGCUUAGAAGCAGCCACCAUUGAAAGAGUGCGUAAUAGCUCACUGGUCGAGUGACCCCGCGCCGAAAAUGUACCGGGGCUAAACAUAUUACCGAAACUGUGGAUGAACCUCUUUAGAGGUUCGUGGUAGGAGAGCGUUCUAAGGGCGGUGAAGUCAGACCGGAAGGACUGGUGGAGCGCUUAGAAGUGAGAAUGCCGGUAUGAGUAGCGAAAGAAGGGUGAGAAUCCCUUCCACCGAAUAUCUAAGGUUUCCUGAGGAAGGCUCGUCCGCU